RNAcentral lists this ribosomal RNA (301 nucleotides) under uncultured bacterium. RNAcentral's name for it is "partial 16S ribosomal RNA". It matches the Rfam family "Bacterial small subunit ribosomal RNA", at positions 509 to 809 of the family's 1533-position model. The record is from RNAcentral.
CAGUCGCCGCGGUAAUACGGAGGGUGCAAGCGUUAAUCGGAAUUACUGGGCGUAAAGCGCACGCAGGCGGUCUGACAAGUCAGAUGUGAAAUCCCCGGGCUUAACCUGGGAACUGCAUUUGAAACUGUCAGGCUGGAGUCUUGUAGAGGGGGGUGGAAUUCCAGGUGUAGCGGUGAAAUGCGUAGAGAUCUGGAGGAAUACCGGUGGCGAAGGCGGCCCCCUGGACAAAGACUGACGCUCAGGUGCGAAAGCGUGGGGAGCAAACAGGAUUAGAUACCCCGGUAGUCCCUGUCUCUUACAC